Molecule: ribosomal RNA, 429 nt
Filed under: Bacteroidota bacterium
Lineage: Bacteria; Pseudomonadati; Bacteroidota
Description: Bacteroidetes bacterium partial 16S ribosomal RNA
Rfam family: Bacterial small subunit ribosomal RNA
Source: RNAcentral
UAGGGAAUCUUCGGCAAUGGGGGGAACCCUGACCGAGCAACGCCGCGUGAGUGAAGAAGGUUUUCGGAUCGUAAAACUCUGUUAUUAGGGAAGAAUAAAUGUGUAAGUAACUAUGCACGUCUUGACGGUACCUAAUCAGAAAGCCACGGCUAACUACGUGCCAGCAGCCGCGGUAAUACGUAGGUGGCAAGCGUUGUCCGGAUUUAUUGGGCGUAAAGCGAGCGCAGGCGGUCAAUUAAGUCUGAUGUGAAAGCCCCCGGCUCAACCGGGGAGGGUCAUUGGAAACUGGUUGACUUGAGUGCAGAAGAGGAGAGUGGAAUUCCAUGUGGAGCGGUGAAAUGCGUAGAUAUAUGGAGGAACACCAGUGGCGAAGGCGACUCUCUGGUCUGUAACUGACGCUGAGGCUCGAAAGCGUGGGUAGCAAACAGG